CAGCCGCCGCGGGAAUACGUAGGUGGCAAGCGUUGUCCGGAAUUAUUGGGCGUAAAGGGCUCGCAGGCGGUUUCUUAAAUCUGAUGUGAAAGCCCCCGGCUCAACCGGGGAGGGUCAUUGGAAACUGGGAAACCUGAGUGCAGAAGAGGAGAGUGGAAUUCCACGUGUAGCGGUGAAAUGCGUAGAGAUGUGGAGGAACACCAGUGGCGAAGGCGACUCUCUGGUCUGUAACUGACGCUGGGGAGCGAAAGCGUGGGGAGCGAACAGGAUUAGAUACCCCCGUAGUCCCUGUCUCUUAUAC
RNAcentral lists this ribosomal RNA (301 nucleotides) under uncultured bacterium. RNAcentral's name for it is "partial 16S ribosomal RNA". It matches the Rfam family "Bacterial small subunit ribosomal RNA", at positions 509 to 807 of the family's 1533-position model. The record is from RNAcentral.